CGUUCGGGUUGUAAACACUUUCACUUGUGAUGGAAAGUGUUCAAUAACUUAAUACCUGCUACCCUGUGACGUUAACAACRWGAAGAAGCACCGSCUAACUCCGUGCCAGCAGCCGCGGYAAUACGSRGGGUGCGAGCGUUAAUCGAGAAUUACUGGGCGUAAAGCGCACGCAGACGGUCGUGUUAASSUAGAUGUGAAAGCCCCGMGCUCAACGUGUSSAGGKUCAUUUAGAACUGGCAGACUAGACGUCUUGGAGAGGKGAGUGGAAUUCCAGGUGUASAGGUGAAAUGCGUAGAGAUCUCGCAGGAACAUCAAUCGCGAAGGAACUCCCUCGCCAAGAGACUGACGCUCAUCGUGCCGAAAGUCGUGGGUAGCGAACAGGAUUAGAUACCCUGGUAGCCACACCGUAAACGUGCUACUAGUCGUUUCCUCGGAUUUAAUUCGGUGAGUCACAGAACUGAACGCGAUAACGUAG
This 475-nucleotide ribosomal RNA is filed under the name uncultured Gammaproteobacteria bacterium. RNAcentral describes it as "partial 16S ribosomal RNA". It matches the Rfam family "Bacterial small subunit ribosomal RNA", at positions 415 to 867 of the family's 1533-position model. The record is from RNAcentral. Lineage: Bacteria; Pseudomonadati; Pseudomonadota; Gammaproteobacteria.